CCUACGGGCGGCAGCAGUGAGGAAUAUUGGUCAAUGGUCGGGAGACUGAACCAGCCAAGCCGCGUGCGGGAGGAAGGUACAGAGUAUCGUAAACCUCUUUUGUCAGGGGACAAAGACUGGGACGCGUCCCCGGAUGAGUGUACCUGAAGAAAAGCAUCGGCUAACUCCGUGCCAGCAGCCGCGGUUAUAAGGAGGAUGCGAGCGUUAUCCGGAUUUUUUGGGUUUAAAGGGUGCGCAGGCCGUCUGUUAAGUCAGCCGUCAAAGGCCCGGGCUCAACCCGGGCCCCGCGGUUGAAACUGGCAUGCUCGAGUUGGAGGGAAGUAUGCGGAAUUCGCGGUGUAGCGGUGAAAUGCAUAGAUAUCGCGCAGAACUCCGAUUGCGAAGGCAGCAUGCCGGCUCCACACUGACGCUGAGGCACGAAAGCGUGGGUAUCGAACAGGAUUAGAUACCCUUGUAGUC
Molecule: ribosomal RNA, 459 nt
Filed under: uncultured bacterium
Lineage: Bacteria
Description: partial 16S ribosomal RNA
Rfam family: Bacterial small subunit ribosomal RNA
Source: RNAcentral